RNAcentral lists this transfer RNA (76 nucleotides) under Spiroplasma chrysopicola DF-1. Its description in RNAcentral is "tRNA-Val (TAC) (tRNA-Val-TAC-2-1)". It matches the Rfam family "tRNA". Rfam says of the family: Transfer RNA (tRNA) molecules are approximately 80 nucleotides in length. Their secondary structure includes four short double-helical elements and three loops (D, anti-codon, and T loops). Lineage: Bacteria; Bacillati; Mycoplasmatota; Mollicutes; Entomoplasmatales; Spiroplasmataceae. The record is from RNAcentral. RNAcentral also lists the same sequence under 4 other names.
CGGGUGUUAGCUCAGUUGGGAGAGCGUCUGCCUUACAAGCAGGUGGUCAGCGGUUCAAGUCCGUUACACCCGACCA